CAUAUCAAUAAGCGGAGGAAAAGAAACCAACAGGGAUUGCCCUAGUAACGGCGAGUGAAGCGGCAUCCAGCUCAAAUUUGAAAUCUGGCUCUUUCAGGGUCCGAGUUGUAAUUUGCAGAGGGCGCUUUGGCGUUGGCAGCGGUCCAAGUUCCUUGGAACAGGACGUCACAGAGGGUGAGAAUCCCGUACGUGGUCGCUGGCCUUCGCCGUGUAAAGCCCCUUCGACGAGUCGAGUUGUUUGGGAAUGCAGCUCUAAAUGGGAGGUAAAUUUCUUCUAAAGCUAAAUACUGGCCAGAGACCGAUAGCGCACAAGUAGAGUGAUCGAAAGAUGAAAAGCACUUUGGAAAGAGAGUCAAAUAGCACGUGAAAUUGUUGAAAGGGAAGCGCUUGCAGCCAGACUUGCCUGUAGUUGCUCAUCCGGGCUUUUGCCCGGUGCACUCUUCUGCGGGCAGGCCAGCAUCAGUCUGGGCGGUUGGAUAAAGGCCUCUGUCACGUACCUCCUUUCGGGGAGGCCUUAUAGGGGAGGCGUAAUGCAACCAGCCUGGACUGAGGUCCGCGCAUCUGCUAGGAUGCUGGCGUAAUGGCUGUAAGCGGCCCGUCUUGAAACACGGACCAAGGAGUCUAACAUCUAUGCGAGUGUUUGGGUGUCAAGCCCGAGCGCGUAAUGAAAGUGAACGGAGGUGGGAUCCCUUUAGGGUGCACCAUCGACCGAUCCUGAUGUCUUCGGAUGGAUUUGAGUAAGAGCAUGGCUGUUGGGACCCGAAAGAUGGUGAACUAUGCUUGAAUAGGGUGAAGCCAGAGGAAACUCUGGUGGAGGCUCGCAGCGGUUCUGACGUGCAAAUCGAUCGUCAAAUUUGGGCAUAGGGGCGAAAGACUAAUCGAACUAUCUAGUAGCUGG
RNAcentral lists this small RNA (898 nucleotides) under Neocucurbitaria sp. 1 NVL-2017. Its description in RNAcentral is "eukaryotic LSU rRNA". It matches the Rfam family "Eukaryotic large subunit ribosomal RNA", at positions 39 to 954 of the family's 3401-position model. The record is from RNAcentral. Lineage: Eukaryota; Fungi; Ascomycota; Dothideomycetes; Pleosporales; Cucurbitariaceae.